Molecule: ribosomal RNA, 542 nt
Filed under: uncultured archaeon
Lineage: Archaea
Description: bacterial SSU rRNA
Rfam family: Bacterial small subunit ribosomal RNA
Source: RNAcentral
CAGCAGCCGCGGUGACACGUAGGCACCAAGCGUUGUCCGGAUUUAUUGGGCGUAAAGAGCUCGUAGGCGGUUCGGUAAGUCGGGUGUGAAAACUUUGGGCUUAACCCAAAGCCUGCAUCCGAUACUGCUGUGACUAGAGUUCGGUAGGGGAGCGGGGAAUUCCUAGUGUAGCGGUGAAAUGCGCAGAUAUUAGGAGGAACACCGGUGGCGAAGGCGCCGCUCUGGGCCGAUACUGACGCUGAGGAGCGAAAGCGUGGGUAGCAAACAGGAUUAGAUACCCUGGUAGUCCACGCCGUAAACGUUGGGCACUAGGUGUGGGUCUCAACCAACGAGAUCCGCGCCGUCGCUAACGCAUUAAGUGCCCCGCCUGGGGAGUACGGCCGCAAGGUUAAAACUCAAAGGAAUUGACGGGGGCCCGCACAAGCAGCGGAGCGUGUUGCUUAAUUCGAUGCAACGCGAAGAACCUUACCUGGGCUUGACAUGUACGGAAAAGCCGUAGAGAUACGGUGUCCUUCGGGGCCGUACACAGGAGGUGCAUGGCC